GGGAAUAUUGGGCAAUGGAUGCAAGUCUGACCCAGCCAUGCCGCGUGCCGGAUGAAGGCCCUCAGGGUUGUAAACGGCUUUUAUUCGGGAAGAAGAGCAGGGAUGCGUCCUUGUGUGACGGUACCGAAUGAAUAAGCACCGGCUAACUCCGUGCCAGCAGCCGCGGUAAUACGGAGGGUGCGAGCGUUGUCCGGAUUUAUUGGGUUUAAAGGGUGCGUAGGUGGCUGUUUAAGUCAGUGGUGAAAUACGGUUGCUCAACAAUCGAGGUGCCAUUGAUACUGAAUAGCUUGAAAUAAUUGGAGGCUGCCGGAAUGGAUGGUGUAGCGGUGAAAUGCAUAGAUAUCAUCCAGAACACCGAUUGCGAAGGCAGGUGGCUACGAUUGGUUUGACACUGAGGCACGAAAGCAUGGGGAGCAAAC
This 419-nucleotide ribosomal RNA is filed under the name Dyadobacter sp. RNAcentral describes it as "bacterial SSU rRNA". It matches the Rfam family "Bacterial small subunit ribosomal RNA", at positions 357 to 773 of the family's 1533-position model. The record is from RNAcentral. Lineage: Bacteria; Pseudomonadati; Bacteroidota; Cytophagia; Cytophagales; Spirosomataceae.